Molecule: long non-coding RNA, 196 nt
Organism: Pelobates fuscus (common spadefoot toad)
Lineage: Eukaryota; Metazoa; Chordata; Amphibia; Anura; Pelobatidae
Exons: 3
Source: RefSeq, a predicted model, not a curated record
AGAGCAGGGCAGCAGGUUCACCUCCUGUCUCCCUGGAAAUGCGCCUGGCUUCACUUUCCUCUGACCAUCCGCAACUUGUCGAUGUUCCUUCACCACGUAUGAGUGUGGUUUCCCUCCAACAGCCGGCCACUGGUGUCCAGGAACAGGGAUCCACUGCUGAGCGUUCUGAUGGUACUCUCCCCCUGCAAGAGGAGGG